This 259-nucleotide unclassified non-coding RNA is filed under the name Hevea brasiliensis (rubber tree). The record is from RNAcentral. Lineage: Eukaryota; Viridiplantae; Streptophyta; Magnoliopsida; Malpighiales; Euphorbiaceae.
GGUACCCAGACAAUUAAGGGCCUCAUUCUUGACAUGCACAUGUUAAGAGAAGAGAAACAUGUCAGACCAAUUUCAAAUUAUGGAAAUCAUAUUUAUGAAAAUUCUGUGGAGGAAUCAAUGCUUGGUUGUGAAGAUAACUGAUCAUGAAUUGUAUCUCAAAAACUUCGUCUACCUCAUCAGAUGUGAUCAAAACAGAGGCAUUUGCAAAUAUGCGCCAAUUAAAUGUGCUUCUGCUCAAUGAUGUCAAGCUUGAUCGAGG